Molecule: ribosomal RNA, 400 nt
Filed under: phytoplankton environmental sample
Lineage: Eukaryota
Description: partial small subunit ribosomal RNA
Rfam family: Eukaryotic small subunit ribosomal RNA
Source: RNAcentral
AGCUCUCAAGGUGUAUAUCGCCAUUGCUGCGGUUAAAAAGCUCGUAGUUGGAUCUACGGUUGAGGAACCGGUCCAUCCAAUGGAUGCGAACUGGUUUCCCGGCCUUUGGGCGCUGGUCUACCCUUGAUGCUCUUCACCGGGUGUCGUGGGUGGCUAGCGAGUUUACUUUGAAAAAAUUAGAGUGCUCAAGACAGGCUUGAUGCCUGAAUAGUGGUGCAUGGAAUAAUAGAAUAGGACCUCGGUCCAUUUUGUUGGUUUUGGUGCCGAGAUAAUGGUUAAGAGGGACAGACGGGGGCAUUCGUAUCGCUGCGUGAGAGGUGAAAUUCUUGGACCGUAGCGAGACGAACUACUGCGAAAGCAUUUGCCAAGAAUGUCUUCAUUAAUCAAGAACGAAAGUAGG